Long non-coding RNA from Frieseomelitta varia, 2261 nucleotides. RefSeq lists it as uncharacterized. The transcript has 2 exons. The record is from RefSeq and is a predicted model, not a curated record. Lineage: Eukaryota; Metazoa; Arthropoda; Insecta; Hymenoptera; Apidae.
AAAAAAGAAUGAAACGAAAAAAAAGAAAAAAAUAAAAAAAAGAAUGAAACGAAAAGAAUACAAACGACGUUCGGUCGACAAAGUUAACAAUUAUAAUCUUCAAUUCCGUUCGAUUGUACGCAGAUGUGUACACAUCGUGUCAUUAAACAACUCGUGACAAAAAGUAAACGAACGAUCAUUAUCCGACCAUCAGGAAAAGUUUCACGAAAUCACGCGAUCAGAGUAACGAAAACAGGGGCUGUGACGGUCGCUUCUACGUACAUUUUCGAGCAAAUAUGUAUCGCAGAAACGUUCAAGAAUUGUUUACGACAGGGACGGACAAUGAUACGACGAAAAUAUAAAUUAAUUAAUGAUUGUUGAAACGAAAGGUUCACAGAGAGCAAUUGAGACGCGUUAUGCAACGAAAACCCGCGACUCGGCCUCAACCAACACACACCGAGAACAAAUAACCACAACGCGAAAUCAAUUUUCAACGUACGUAAGAUUUGAACAAAUGCUUUCGCCGGGGUAAUAUGUGCGUUUUUUAAUUCGUCAUCGGGGCGCUAAAAAUAACGCGUUUCUCGCAUUGUUAUUAUAUCAUUAAUCGCCGGGCGACUUCUUGAGAGUUGUGUAACGCAGUCAGGCUAAUGGUCGCGUUAAAAUGACGCCACGCGAAAUGUUAUCGAGACAGAGAGAUGAGAACGGGUCAAUUGCGGAUGACACGUGACGCUUAGCCUGAUAUGCCAUCGUUCUCCUCAAUUCGAUUUAACGCUUACAACGAAGAACUCGCCAGUGUGGCGACGAUUUCUAAAAUAGAGAUCAAACUUUCCGGUUUGUUGCAGGCAACGCGAUUCUCACGACAAAUGAACGUUCCGUUCCGAGAACGCAUGCUCGUUAAAUAAUUCCGUGGGAAACACGUGAUUUUCAUUAAAAACCAACGGCACAUUUUCCGAUCAUAAAAUUCCAAUCGUUAAGCCACAGUAGGUGAGAUACUCUAUCGUAAUAUCUACCAUUGUUAAUAGCAAAUAGAACGAGUCAAACUUAUUCGAAAAUUAUUUCAUUGAAAGACAAAAUUUGGUUCUACAAGUUGUUCAACGACAUGAGGGAUGCUUCUGUCUAGCAUAGGACUAUCCAGUUAGCCUUGAUAUAUUGACACAACGGUAUUUUGUGUUGCGUGACUGCUGGGAUUCGAAAUGGGACUUCCAUCGAAAAAAGUCAAAUAAAUAUACGUGUAUAGACGCGAGAAACGCGCUCAACGAACGCUGCUACUCACUUUUUGUUGCCUGAGCCUUGUUUCGUCUUCUGCUGAAUGAGGGAAUUUCAACAACGCGUGUCACAUUCUACAAAUCGGACACUGUUCCUCCGGACGAAUAACAAACUCGAACGAAACGAAACGAAAUACGCAUGCUUCGCGCAAAGCCUGCGCCGCUACUGAACGCAAUUCUCAACUUCGACACUCCUCUGCCUUGUUUCCUCGUUCUAUGACGUAUGCAUGUGUUCAACGUGCCAGUACGUUUGAUCGUAAUAUACGGUCUGCAUCUUUCUUUCGACGAUGGUGUCUUUAUUUGCAAUUUCGAUAAAAAGGAAAAAAAAUUUAGCCGUAAAACAAUGUUUAAGAAAAAAAACUUUUCAUUAUAUAGGGUGGGCCAAAAACCCCACUUCCGACUAAAAUAAAUCCGUAAUUUUGUUAUUAACUUGCGAACGCCCUAGUGGUCAACAUUUAAAUGAAGAAAUAAUUUUUAAAACAUGAUGGAAAAAUCGUGCUUCAACUUAAAUUCAAUUUGAAAUUAGUGAAAUUUGUUUUUUUUAUAUUUCGAUGUUUUAUUAAAAAAGAAAAAAAAAAUUGGUGGGAAGAAACUUUCGGCUCACUCUGUAUCGUGUCUCGUUGCGUGUUUGACGAUUAUUCAUUUACGAUUCACGGUUUCUUCGAAACUUAAUUAACUAAUAAUUUUUCAACAUUUGAUGUAUAUAAACUACAUUUUUAUUGAAAGACGAAAUUGAAAAAAAACCAGUCGAAUAAAAUAAAUAAAGUAUAAUAGAAGAACAGGAAAAGGGAAUAGAGGAUAUUUAUGCAGACACAUUCUAAAAAAGAAAUUGCUAUUCGUAAAAGUUGCUAUUAUACAAUAUUCUGUUUUUUAGAUGCACUUACAAAGUAAAGUUAAACAUAGCUGUGACACAAAAUGUUGGGAGAUACUUAUAUAGUUUAUGAUUAUAAGGCACAUGAUAAUGAAAAUAAAAUAAUAAAACGUUGUUAUUAAAAUAUAAUUAUUGCUGACACAACU